UGACUGAGCUCUAAUGGGAUACUCUUAAUACUUCAGUAACUAACUGCUUGUCUUUUGAUUUCUCCUAAACAGGAAGUUCCUUGAGGACCUUGAGGACCUUGAACUUAUCUCUGUUAACAUCUUCUCCCUAACUUCGUAUUCCGCAACACAAGCACGUGGAAGAUAAACUAAGUCUCGUCUUCUGUGUUGGAAAAUUGUGUUCACUUUGCCGCCCGCUGGCUGUCGGGGGGUCCGCGAUGCACUUAGCCCACUGCAGUGAGCCAGAGGCUGGACCAGUGUGCACGAUGGAGAAAACCUUGUGCUGUCCACUCAACGUCAGCUCCAGCUCUGUCAGUUCUACCUCCUUAGAGUCUAAUCAGCUUCUUCCGGAUAGUUCUACCUUUAACGGACAAAUGAGAGGUGAGGAAGCAGAGACCCAAGGAGGUCACAGCUCAAAUCGUACAACCACUUGGGACAGAGGCAGAGCCGCCACCAUGGGCCGCCUCUUCACCUCAAGCUCAGUUCCAGAGCGCGGAAUUCAGACCCGUCUCACUGGACUAAAAUCCCAGUGACAUGAAGAUGCUCGUAAAACAUCUCCCAUCACACAGCUGAAUUUGCCCUCGCUCAGGUAGGC
RNAcentral lists this long non-coding RNA (613 nucleotides) under Felis catus (domestic cat). Its description in RNAcentral is "lncRNA (ENSFCAG00000041105.2)". Lineage: Eukaryota; Metazoa; Chordata; Mammalia; Carnivora; Felidae. The record is from RNAcentral.